This 220-nucleotide ribosomal RNA is filed under the name uncultured bacterium. RNAcentral describes it as "partial 16S ribosomal RNA". It matches the Rfam family "Bacterial small subunit ribosomal RNA", at positions 99 to 334 of the family's 1533-position model. The record is from RNAcentral.
CAAACGGGUGAGUAACACGUGGGAAUCUGCCCAAGAGUGGGGAAUAACAGCUCGAAAGAGUUGCUAAUACCGCAUACGGUCGAAAGACUAAAGGAGCAAUCCGCUUUUGGAGGAGCCUGCGGCUGAUUAGCUAGUUGGUGGGGUAAAAGCCUACCAAGGCCAUGAUCAGUAGCUGGUCUGAGAGGAUGGUCAGCCACACUGGGACUGAGAAACGGCCCAG